GAAUAUUGGACAAUGGGCGAAAGCCUGAUCCAGCCAUGCCGCGUGUGUGAAGAAGGUCUUCGGAUUGUAAAGCACUUUAAGUUGGGAGGAAGGGCAGUAAGCGAAUACCUUGCUGUUUUGACGUUACCGACAGAAUAAGCACCGGCUAACUCUGUGCCAGCCGCCGCGGUAAUACAGAGGGUGCAAGCGUUAAUCGGAAUGACUGGGCGUAAAGCGCGCGUAGGUGGUUCGUUAAGUUGGAUGUGAAAUCCCCGGGCUCAACCUGGGAACUGCUUUCAUAACUGCUGAGCUAGAGUACGGUAGAGGGUAGUGGAAUUUCCUGUGUAGCGGUGAAAUGCGCAGAUAUAGGAAGGAACACCAGUGGCGAAGGCGACUACCUGGACUGAUACUGACACUGAGGCGCGAAGGCGUGGGGAGCAAACAG
Molecule: ribosomal RNA, 424 nt
Filed under: uncultured bacterium
Lineage: Bacteria
Description: bacterial SSU rRNA
Rfam family: Bacterial small subunit ribosomal RNA
Source: RNAcentral